AAGACCUUGGUCGUUACUAUGUUUUGUUUCCUGAUGAUCAGUAGUGGAGCCCAGUUGGGACGAUCGGGGAUCUAGCAUUUGGGGUUGUCUUCUUUUAUUUUGGUUCCGUAGUCGGACCUUGAUUGUACUCUGAAUGAUGUAUGUUUAAUUUAUGUAUUGUGUGUAGUGGCGAUUGUAAGCCAACUCUUUAUCCCAUUCUUGUUCAUUACAUGGGAUUGUGUGAAGAUGACCCUUCUUGCGACAAAACCACCAUGCGGUUAUGCAUCCAAGUCGUGCCUCGACAUGUGGGAGAUAUAGCCGCAUCGUGGGCGUUACAAGUUGGUAAUCAAAGCCAUCCGCGACUUAGGAGCCCCCUGCUUGAUUGAAUCAUUGGCGCUGUUGAGUCUAGAACAAAAAUGUUUUGAGUCUUAGGAUUAUAUAUAUCGGAGAGUAGGAUUCUUUUUACUCCCCAGUCCCUUCGUCGCUCUGGUGAGGCCUCCUGACGUAGAUGUUUUGACUUUCCUCUCCUCAAAUUUCACUAAAAAAAAUUUAGGAUCACGCGGGUAUCUUGGAAUAGUUCCGAUGGUUUUGUGACGAGAACAUUGUUCUUGGUGCCUCCUGACAUUUAGGGGUUGUGGCAGUGUCCCGGGGAGUUGAGCUCCGAGGUGUUGUCGUCACAAUUUUAUCGGUGCAGUUCUGGAAUACCUGAGUUUUGCCGACAUCGAAAAUCUCUUUUAUGCAGUUUGUUGGUGAGAUCACCUCGACACCACCCAGUACUGGGGCGGGAGUUAGGGAGUAUUGCCAUAACUCGUAUAACGGAUGCUUUUCGAAGGUUGAGAUACACGAUUUCUAGAGUUUUUCUUGGUUAUGUGUUGACGGAUGGAUAUAGCUGGAUCUAGGUAUUGUUAGUUUGGGUAAGAUAUAUUGCAUCCCCUAUAUCCCCAACACCUGAUUGCAUAACCAGAAUGUUUCGGGAGUUCAUAGGUGGGAAUUCAAGUAGCUCCUAGAAUAUCUUUUCGACGGAUGUAUGAUUUGAGAUUGGGGUCCAACGUCUAGUGGUUCGCUUUUCACGGUCGAUUUACAGUGGUCGCGAGGCUUCUUAAAGAAUCCUUGGCUAUGCCGAUUCGGGGACGUCUUGUUUGUCAUUUGUGACGUCCGCUGUACGUCGUGCCCGUGGGGCCUCAUCAUGAACACUUUGGGCGAAAUCUCUAUCAUAUGUUUGUUUCCGGCUUAUUCUGCGAGCCAAUCCUUUGUUUUGUUUUGGUUUGUGGUAUUCGAGUUGCUUCAUUGUCUGGUGUUGAUUACAUACCUUUUCUAAGCCAUGUUCUCAUAUUUCUAUGUGGAUGCUAAUCCUUCUUGAUCAUCAAGGUUGUCUUUUCAAUUCUUUUCAACCGGUGUGCUUCUCUUCAAGUGGACCCGAUCAUUGCAACAUUCGCAAGAUCAUCCCUCAGUUUUUCUCAACGGUGUUUGUUUCAACCGUCCCAAGUUGCCUUUGUUUUUCCCUCCCUCCCACCCUUUUCAUCAAGGACUCAUAUAUCCCUAACCAAGUAUCCAUUUUAUUGAGUGAAGUUCUUCAUUCUUUUCCUUUAAUGUUUUUAUCCGGUGAUUUCUCAUGAAGACGCUAAGGAAGCUUCAACCUUAUCAUUGUUCCAUUCUAAUUUUCUUCUCCGAUGGAUUUAAUUCAAGAUUUCAGUGUUGAUCUUAUCCCUUUUCCUCUUUUCACAAUGCUUUUCCAUUCCGGUGCACCAAUUAAUCAUUCACCUCUCGCUAUUCAUUUGUUCCGGUGUACUAAAGAUAUUGCAGGAGAUUCGUGUUUUCAUUCCUAAUCCGUUCAAGAUAUCUCGAAGUUGUUAUCCCUUUUGAGCCAUUUUAUUAAACCGGCGUAAUCUCUCUUCUAAAUCGUUCAACGGUGUAUCUUUUGAGUGGGCCCUAACCCACACAUCUUUUCCAGGAUCUUACCUGACUCUUCUAAUUUUCCCGGAGCUUCUAAAAUUCUUUUCAAAGUUUGACGUAAGAAUGGGUUAUCAUCAGUCAUAUGUCUUUCUCCAAGAUCUUUGAAUUUUUUUUUCAUCGUUGGUUAAACCUUUCUAAUUUUCAUUCCAGAGUGCCUCAACAAUUCAUGGUGUUGUUUCUCGUCGUCAUUCUCGGAUUGUGAAGACCGAAGAAGAGUUUCUCUCAAAUCUUGGUCCGUUCUCUCAAAGAUUCAGGGUUCUAGCUUGAUGCCAUCCUCUCAUAAUUGUUCUUGAUUGUGAGAAAUCUUUUCACCCAUCCGGAGCAAUUCAGGAGUCUUUUUAAUUUGAUUCUCCGGAGCCCAUCAUCUCAGAAUUAUUCAUUCCAGUCUUCAUCUCUCGUUCUCCAAAUCUUACCGGUGCAUCGCUCAAGUAUUCCCUACUCAGCUCGUGAUCUCUUCAUUCUCUUGUAUCUAAAUUUCCCCAAGUAUCUUUGUUCAAUUUAUAAUUCUUCCUGGUGAUUCGCGCUCUUUCCUUCGUGCGUUUGAAGUUCUUACGGUGGUUCAUUCAAGAUUUCUCUUCCUUCGUUAUCGUAUCAAAUCAUUCGUUCUUUCAAAUCCUAUCGACGAUUUGUGGAAGACCUUAUUCAAGUUUGUGCUAUAUCUCUCUUAAUACUUUAUACGAGAAUAAGUAGUAUGCCAAAUCCGUUGCUUGUCAUCAAUUUAUAUUGGUGAAGGAUACGCAUAAAAUAAUUCUUGUUCUUGUUUCAUCCAAGUGAUUAAUUCCUUCUUCCGGAGUUCGUAGUGAUAUCAAUUUCUCAGUUAUAUGUUGUUCAUCUUUCUUUUCCGGAGUUCCAAGUUUUCUGCAUUAUCUCAUCGCGAAGCUCCAUCUACAUCAUCGCAAGGCUUCACCUUGUGUUGUCAACUUCUCUUUCUUUGAUCAUCCUUUCAUUACCGGAGUUCUUCAUGGAGGUUCACAUGGUGGUUCGUCAAGGAUUCUUUUCAUUUUUCAAUUGUUCUUCAAGAUUUCUCUCGAAGUUAUGAUCCAUCAAGCCAUACUUCAAAAUAAACAUGGUGCUCAACACAUGUUUUGUUUUGAGGAGUUCAAGCAUUCUUCAUCUUGCAUUCUGAAGUGCAAUUCUUCCUACCUUAUCUUUUGAGGUGGUGUUAUGUCCUUCUUGACAAUUUCCAUCCAUGUUCCAUGUUUCACAUGUUGUCAAGAAUGAGAUAUUUUAAAUCCACCAAUCUCUUCGUUUGAGUUAUCUUGUGUCAUGUUUCACCUAAAGUCUUCCCUAAGGAAUGUUGCUAUUAUGGUGCUCAUCAAUGAUCCAAGUUUUCUCCUAUCCUCUUGGUGAAAGAAGUUUUUCAUCGCCUUGGUGCUCUCACUCAAAUCAAUGGCUUCCUUUAGUGGCCGUUUGUCACCUCAUAUUGUUGGGAUGUUUCCAUAAGCCUGCUACAAGCUUAUUCCUUUCGUUGUUGGUUUUCCAACAACUCCGUUAUAACCUUCUUCGAAGGGUGCUUUCCAAGCUCAUUUGUGGCAGAAAUUGGCAUUUCCUUCUACAUUCUUUUAUUCCAAUGAUCUAUCUUCUAUUCUCUCUUCCAGAGGCAAUGUGAUGUUGCUCUCUUCGCUCAUCAUCUCGAAUUGUGAAGAUCGUGUUCUUUUCGUGCUUAUCCAUUUAACCGGAGUGUUGUGUCAUCUCUUCAAGUUCUUUUCAUCUUAUCAAGUCUUGCAUCUCUUUUCAACCGGAGUGCUGUCCAAAUUUGUUCUUCCUUAUUCCUUGUUUAUCUCGUUUCAACCAGAGUGGUUCCGAUUCCUUCUUGUCCAUUGUACUCGUCAUUCAUAGCUUUGCAACCUCCAAGGUUCAUAUGGUGUUCCUUGUUUCUAUUUUCUACGGCAGUGCUACAAUUGCGUUCAUUUCCAUUGUGUUCUUUCUUUCAACCUUUCAACCUCUCAAGGUUCUUUGGUUUCACUCGUUUGUCAAAGAGGCAACUUUGUUUUACCUAUUGCUCUUCCGUUUCUCUCCGGUGCCAUCCCUAGAUCUCGGGACGAGAUCCUCUUGUAGUGGUGGAGUGUUGUAACACCCCAAGACCGACGCUCCAGACGCCUUCCUUGUUUUUCGUUAUCGUCGUGUGUAUUUAUUUGUUUGUUGCAUUUCAUCAUGGCAUCAUCCGCAUUGCAUCGGCACUGGUUGCCGUCAUUGUUUUUAAAACUUGCGUCCCCCUUGUUUUCGUUGACCGUUCCGAGACCAACAAUAUUCUUCGUUUUCCCUCUUGCCUAAACCGGAGUCUCUUUGCACAGUGCUCAGACCGCUCGCGCAUGUCCGAAGCUGUCCCGAACCCGACCCGGGCUGUCAUGACCGAUGAAUCCGGAUCAUCCUCGAACAUUCCUAAAACAUCACCGGUUUCUCAUUUGGACUCUCUAGUCUAUUUAUCGGGGACCGUCCGAUUAAGUUCGUAAGGUCCUAUCUAGCCCCUAAGCUACCCCUUGCUAUAUAAAUAGUCUAAACUCCUCAUCCAUUCCUCCCCCUAUCCAAUCGCCGCCGCCACACUCCACCUCCCCCCUCGGGAUCUCCUCCCGAUCCAAAUUCUCUCCGACCAAGUCCCUUGUUUUCCGCCGCCGCCCAAUCCAUCCAUCCAGCCCGCAACAGUGUCUCCCCUUGAUGGCUCCAUCGCUCAUGCUCGAGCCCCUCUGCCUCGAUCCACCAGGCGCCUGGAUCGCAGCAACCAACGCACAGGAGAGGAGCUCCUUGAUCCCCUUGACCCCGACCUCUGCGCCCACGGCCUCCUCCCCGUCCCCUUGGAGCCCGAGCAUGCCAGCACCUCCUAGCGCCGCUGCCGGCGACCUCGCCGAACCAGGCCACCCCGGCCAGCCUUCCGCCACCUGCAGGCCAACCCCGUCGCCGCUCCUUCCCUGCUCCUCUUCCUUCCUUCUCCUCCCAACCUUACCUCGUUUUCCCCUGUCUGUUUUCUCCAUGGACAGGGAGCGCCAGGGCAUCUGCUUCAAACCUCUACGCCGCCCGGAGCUCGUCGACGCCGGCCAGAUCCGACACCCUGGAGACCCGCAUCCCCGCCGGACCUCCUUCCUCUGCGCCAAGUCUGCCCGCCAUGGCCCGUUUCGCCUCGACCUCAACCGAGGAGAACAAGCAGCGCUGCUGCCUUCUUCAGUUCCGCCCGCACGCCACCUCGCCGAAGAACGCUGUCCUCGCCCGGAUCCCCGUGCCCUGCCAUCUCGUCCAUGCCGGCGAGUUCCUCCCGCGUCGUUGUCUUCUCUGCAUCAAGCCGUGCCGCCGCGCCAAGUACCCUGAAUCGCGCCCAGCCGCCGUCGCUCGAACCUGCCUGCUUCCAUGACCCGCGCUCGCCUCGAGAGGAAGAGUCAACGCACGAGCGACUCGCGCGUGUUCUAGAUCUAGUGAACCGGCCCAGCCUCCCGAAGCCCAGCCGCUUCUUCGCUUCCAGCCCAGUGGCCCGAUGUAAGCAGCCGCUUAAACCCCUCCUGUACAUUGUUGGGCUAGACAGUUUCAGCCCGUGGACGUUUUUUCCCUUGGGUUAUGCAGACUGAAGGGUCAUCUUUAUUUUAACCCCCCGGGCCAUUGUUCCUCUGAGUGCUGGUCCAAACCGGGCGAUGUCCGGCGCCCCCUGGGCAACCAGGGUCUAUGCCAACCCGACGUCUGGCCCAUCCGAUGUGCCCUGAGAACGAGAUACGUGCGACUCCUAUCGGGAUUUGUCAGCACAUCGGGCGACUUUGCUGGUCUUGUUUUACCAUUGUCGAAAAGUCUUGUAACCGGGAUUCCGAGACUGAUCGGGUCUUCCCGGGAGAAGGAAUAUCCUUCGUUGUCCGUGAGAGCUUGUGAUGGGCUAAGUUGGGACACCCCUGCAGGGUAUAAACUUUCAAGAGCCGUGCCCGCGGUUAUGUGGCAGAUGGGAAUUUGUUAAUAUCCGGUUGUAGAGAACGUGACACUUGACUUAAUUAAAAUGCAUCAACUGCGUGUGUAGCCGUGAUGGUCUCUUUUCGGCGGAGUCCGGGAAGUGAACACGGUUCUUGUGUUACGUUUGAACGUAAGUAGUUUCAGGAUCACUUCUUGAUCACUUCUAGCUUCGCUCUCAUUUGCGUAUGUUAGCCACCAUAUAUGCUUAGUGCUUGCUGCAGCUCCACCUCACUACCCUUUCCUACCAUAAGCUUAAAUAGUCUUGAUCUCGCGGGUGUGAGAUUGUUGAGUACUCGUGACUCACAGAUUCUACCAAAACAGUUGCAGGUGCCGGUGAUACCAGUGCAGAUGACGCAACCGAGCUCAAGUGGGAGCUUGAUGAAGACCUUGGUCGUUACUAUGUUUUGUUUCCUGAUGAUCAGUAGUGGAGCCCAGUUGGGACGAUCGGGGAUCUAGCAUUUGGGGUUGUCUUCUUUUAUUUUGGUUCCGUAGUCGGACCUUGAUUGUACUCUGAAUGAUGUAUGUUUAAUUUAUGUAUUGUGUGUAGUGGCGAUUGUAAGCCAACUCUUUAUCCCAUUCUUGUUCAUUACAUGGGAUU
This 6451-nucleotide long non-coding RNA is filed under the name Triticum aestivum (bread wheat). RNAcentral describes it as "long non-coding RNA (TAES_LNC024413)". The record is from RNAcentral. Lineage: Eukaryota; Viridiplantae; Streptophyta; Magnoliopsida; Poales; Poaceae.